This 279-nucleotide ribosomal RNA is filed under the name uncultured bacterium. RNAcentral's name for it is "partial 16S ribosomal RNA". It matches the Rfam family "Bacterial small subunit ribosomal RNA", at positions 506 to 784 of the family's 1533-position model. The record is from RNAcentral.
UGCCAGCCGCCGCGGUAAUACGGAGGGAGCGAGCGUUAAUCGGAAUCACUGGGCAUAAAGCGCGCGUAGGCGGCGCUGUCAGUGUGAAGUGAAAGCCCACGGCUCAACCGUGGAAUUGCUUUGCAUACUGCAGUGCUAGAGGACGGUAGGGGAGAGCGGAACUCCUGGUGGAGCGGUGAAAUGCGUAGAUAUCAGGAGGAACACCGGUGGCGAAGGCGGCUCUCUGGUCCGUUUCUGACGCUGAGGUGCGAAAGCCAGGGUAGCGAACGGGAUUAGAUA